Molecule: unclassified non-coding RNA, 215 nt
Filed under: Hevea brasiliensis (rubber tree)
Lineage: Eukaryota; Viridiplantae; Streptophyta; Magnoliopsida; Malpighiales; Euphorbiaceae
Source: RNAcentral
UCCAUGCCACAUGUUGCUCUAGCUAAAAUGGCUAAAAUAUACGGACCCAUAGUCUACCUCAAAAUGGGCACUUGUGGGAUGGUGGUUGCAUCGACUCCAGACUCAGCUCGAGCCUUUCUCAAAACCCUAGACUUGAAUUUCUCAAACCGCCCACCUAAUGCCGGUGCAACCCACUUAGCCUACGGUGCUCAGGACAUGGUUUUUGCAGAUUAUGG